UACUACAAACCUGGUCAGAAACUCACGGC
RNAcentral lists this non-coding RNA (29 nucleotides) under Rattus norvegicus (Norway rat). Lineage: Eukaryota; Metazoa; Chordata; Mammalia; Rodentia; Muridae. The record is from RNAcentral.